MicroRNA precursor from Echinops telfairi (small Madagascar hedgehog), 89 nucleotides. Ensembl annotates it as microRNA 1287. The record is from Ensembl. NCBI's taxonomy places the organism in Eukaryota, Metazoa, Chordata, Mammalia, Afrosoricida, Tenrecidae.
UUUGCUGCCCCAGGUGCUAGAUCAGUGGUUUGAGUCGGAGCCUCUAAAAGCCACUCUUGCGACGGAUGCUGUGAUUGGAGCUAUGACCA